AUGCACUUUCCUCAGAUCAGGGGGGACAUGUGUGGUUGGGUCAGCCCCAUGAUUCGGUUGUUUUAUCUGUUUUUGUUUCAAAAAAAAGGAAAGCAGGUUUUGCUAAAAAAAAAUGUAAAAUCGGCGUGGAGCCAUUAUCUUGUUUUCUACUUUCCUCUCCUCUCCUCGAGUCUCGAUUUGCGCCGGCGGCGGAAGCAAUUCAUCUCCAUGGCGGCGACCGCGCUCCGGACCACCUGCCAGCGGAUCGGUGGCCGCGCCCUCCGGCCAUCGCUGGCCCCGGCGGCGGCGCAGCAGAACCAACCCNNNNNNNNNNNNNNNNNNNNNNNNNNGGCGGCCGCAACUCGUUCGGCUGAGAUCCAUCAGGUCAAAGAGGAGCUCUACCGCAUGAUGUCCGAAAACAGGGACAAGAUAGGAAACCAGAAGGGCCUGAUCAAGCACCUCUCAUCCCAUGUGGAGCCUAAACCCGAGGACCCCGUCUGGCGCUUCUAUCGCAGGGCAAAAUGGUACCAUUUAGUCAUGAUGUAUAGCCCAGCAUUCCUUUAUGGCUACAUGUCUAUGUUGGAUGUGCCUGAUGGCAAGAAGGAGAUGACACCAGCUGAGAAGGAUGAUUUUAACAAGAGGAUGGCCGCGUUGAUGCCCAAUGUAGAACUUUGA
This 654-nucleotide ribosomal RNA is filed under the name Triticum aestivum (bread wheat). RNAcentral describes it as "partial small subunit ribosomal RNA". Lineage: Eukaryota; Viridiplantae; Streptophyta; Magnoliopsida; Poales; Poaceae. The record is from RNAcentral.